AGUUUUGGUGCAGUGGUUAAGUGUUUUUGGCUGCUAACCAAAAGGUCGGUAGUUCAAACCCACCAAGCU
This 69-nucleotide transfer RNA is filed under the name Loxodonta africana (African savanna elephant). It matches the Rfam family "tRNA". From Rfam's summary of the family: Transfer RNA (tRNA) molecules are approximately 80 nucleotides in length. Their secondary structure includes four short double-helical elements and three loops (D, anti-codon, and T loops). The record is from Rfam by way of RNAcentral. Lineage: Eukaryota; Metazoa; Chordata; Mammalia; Proboscidea; Elephantidae.